GUUUUUAUAGUUUAAUUAAAAUAGUGAUCUUGUAAAUCAAAACUGAGAAUAUCUCUAAAAACA
Molecule: transfer RNA, 63 nt
Filed under: Macrolenostreptus orestes
Lineage: Eukaryota; Metazoa; Arthropoda; Diplopoda; Spirostreptida; Spirostreptidae
Description: tRNA-Thr
Source: RNAcentral